Corticium candelabrum is the source of this 158-nucleotide long non-coding RNA. RefSeq lists it as uncharacterized. The transcript is spliced from 3 exons. The record is from RefSeq and is a predicted model, not a curated record. Lineage: Eukaryota; Metazoa; Porifera; Homoscleromorpha; Homosclerophorida; Plakinidae.
GACGAACCUGAUGACCAUGAGGCUGCACCUCUCUUUGUUUGCACAUAGAAACAACUUCUAUGGUCUACAUUUGCACCUGUAUGUUUUCCCACCAACAACCAGGAGUCUGACAGCGAAGUGUGCGGGUGUUGUUGCAAAACCACUUCAACAGAAAUUUG